UCCUGUCUUCGGGGGAUGGGAUAAUUUAUACCCUGCAAUCCCACAAUGCUUCACUUUAAUCUGGGUGAGUCACCGACAUCCUCAGCCACUAGAUGGAGGUCUUUCCUUUUUGGCUUGUGAUGGGCUAGCCUCAAACCCAGCAAUUCUAGAGAAGAAUAGUGAGUGUGAUGACUGGCAGCCAGCGAGUCAGCCUCUAGGACAGUAGCUUAGCUUUUAGCCUCUAGGAAAGUAGCUUAGCAUUUAGCCUCUAGGACAGUAGCUUAGUGUUCAGCCUCUAGGACAGUAGCUUAGCUUUUAGCCUCUAGGAAAGUAGCUUAGCAUUUAGCCUCUAGGACAGUAGCUUAGUGUUCAGCCUCUAGGACAGUAGCUUAGCAUUUAGCCUCUUGGACAGUAACUUAGCUUUCAUCUUCUAGGACAGUAGCUUAGCUUUCAUCUUCUAGGACAGUAGCUUAGCUUUCAUCUUCUAGGACAGUAGCUUAGCUUUCAUCUUCUAGGACAGUAACUUAGCUUUCAUCUUCUAGGACAGUAACUUAGCUUUCAUCUUCUAGGACAGUAACUUAGCUUUCAUCUUCUAGGACAGUAACUUAGCUUUCAGCCUCCUUACAUCCAGGGAGAUGUUUCAAUACUCUACAUUGGUUUACUUUCUUCAUUUCCUUUCUUUCACAAUCACUGAUUAAGGGACUGGAUAAGAUACAUCUUAUAUCAUGCAGGAUCAGUCAUCAUGGAGGAAAGGAAUCCAUCUCAACUGAGGUAGAACCAGAGUGUUUGGAUGACACAGUACAACCCAGUCGUCAGAUGUCAUACCUACAAAGCCAACGAAGCACAAACACAUCUCCAACCACCACCCGUCUACCCGACAGACAAAUAAGGCCUGUGGACAUGGAUAAGAUUGCAUGUAACCAUUGAGAGUUCGUUUGAAGAAAAGGAAAGUGUGACGUUUUCUUUAAUGGUAUGUAUGCAAAUGAUUCUAGACCAUUUUUUGAUAGAAUUCAUGGAGAGCAAUGCUGUUGUAUAUAGCAUAGACACAGCAUAGUCUAA
Molecule: long non-coding RNA, 1038 nt
Organism: Oncorhynchus kisutch (coho salmon)
Lineage: Eukaryota; Metazoa; Chordata; Actinopteri; Salmoniformes; Salmonidae
Source: Ensembl